This 385-nucleotide ribosomal RNA is filed under the name uncultured bacterium. Its description in RNAcentral is "bacterial SSU rRNA". It matches the Rfam family "Bacterial small subunit ribosomal RNA", at positions 28 to 414 of the family's 1533-position model. The record is from RNAcentral.
GAUGAACGCUAGCGGCAGGCCUAACACAUGCAAGUCGAGGGGUAGAAUUAGCUUGCUAAUUUGAGACCGGCGCACGGGUGCGUAACGCGUAUGCAAUCUACCUUGUACAGGGGGAUAGCCCAGAGAAAUUUGGAUUAAUACUCCAUGGUAUAAUUGAAUCGCAUGGUUUGAUUAUUAAAGUUCCAACGGUACAAGAUGAGCAUGCGUCCCAUUAGCUAGUUGGUGUGGUAACGGCAUACCAAGGCGACGAUCUGUAGCGGGUCUGAGAGGAUGAUCCGCCACACUGGGACUGAGACACGGCCCAGACUCCUACGGGAGGCAGCAGUGGGGAAUUUUGGACAAUGGGGGCAACCCUGAUCCAGCCAUGCCGCGUGAGUGAAGAAGG